AUAAAUCAUUAAAUUUAAAAGAUUUGGCGGUAUUUUAAAAAAUUAGAGGGGUCUGUGUAUUAAUUGAUAUUCCACGAUAAGAUAAACUUAAUAACUUAUGUAUUGCUGUUUUAAGAUUAUUAUUAAUUAAAUUAUUAGAUAUUAAUUUUAAUUUAAUUCAGGUCAAAAUAUAGUUUAAUUAAGUUAUGGACCACAAUUUUAUUUUGAAAGAGGAUUUAAGAGUAA
Molecule: ribosomal RNA, 225 nt
Filed under: Angiopolybia pallens
Lineage: Eukaryota; Metazoa; Arthropoda; Insecta; Hymenoptera; Vespidae
Also listed under: 1 other name
Description: partial small subunit ribosomal RNA
Source: RNAcentral